UNCUAGGACAGGAUAUCCACUGUAGCUGGAC
This 31-nucleotide non-coding RNA is filed under the name Rattus norvegicus (Norway rat). The record is from RNAcentral. Lineage: Eukaryota; Metazoa; Chordata; Mammalia; Rodentia; Muridae.